GAUUAACGCUGGCGGCGUGCAUAACACAUGCAAGUCGAACGAUGAAACUUUAAUGAACCCUUCGGGGAGAAUUAAAGCGGAUUAGUGGCGAACGGGGGAGUAACGCGUGAGUAACCUGCCUUACACAAGGGGAUAGCCUUUGGAAACGAAGAAUAAUACCCUAUAAAACCAUAAAAGUACAUGCAAUUAUGGUCAAAGUGAUAGCGGUGUAAGAUGGACUUGCGUCUGAUUAGCUAGUUGGUGAGAUAAAAGCCCACCAAGGCAACGAUCAGUAGCGGGCUGGGGAGCGUGUACGGCCACAUUGAGACUGGGACACGGCCCAGACUCCUACGGGAGGCAGCAGUGGGGAAAUUUGCACAAGGGGGGAAACCCUGAUGCGGCGAGGCCGCGUGAUUUAGAAGGCCUUCGGGUUGUAAAAAUCUUUUGUAUAGGAAGAAAAUGACGGUACUAUACAAAUAAGGUCCGGCUAAUUACGUG
RNAcentral lists this ribosomal RNA (477 nucleotides) under uncultured bacterium. Its description in RNAcentral is "partial 16S ribosomal RNA". It matches the Rfam family "Bacterial small subunit ribosomal RNA", at positions 28 to 507 of the family's 1533-position model. The record is from RNAcentral.